CAGGAACAAUAUGAACGUCAUCAUCGGUGAUAGAUCAGCCUGUGAUGAAUGCUUCACCAGCAGAGGGCGAUACAGGACUACACUUCACUAGAGCGCGAGACCGGUAUCUGCCCUCGGGCUAUACGGCAGUUAAGGGAGAGCCAGGAAGCUGUCGUCUGUCCAGGAUGCAGUCAGGUUUCGCCCACCUGUACACAUCAUAAACCCAGAUGAAAGGAGACUUUAAAAACAUACUUUAUUGGCAAAUAUGUUCCCCUCCACCCUGCCUUUGGAAAUCUCCUUUAAACAGCGUGUGCCUGUGAGAGGAGAGACUGUUUGCUCUCUGGCUCUGUAUCUCUGAUAAAUGUCACCUGGUCCAGUCUUUGUUAGUGUGAACAGGGAAACGAGAAGCAUAUGUCUAUGACCAUCCAAACACGGAAGUAACCAGGACACACCCGGAGUCAUAAACUGUGGCAAAGGGCCAAACCUUUGGAUCAUAUGCAGAUAGAGGCAUUUUAGCAGUAGCACAUCGAAGUUGACACUUAAAUCAAAGGUGAGAUCUCCGUGCACCAACCCACAUGAGAGGACCUACAAUCUCAGAAAAAAAGGUACUAAAGAGUUGUCACUGGGGCAGUCCCUUUGCAAAAAGUACACGUUUGCACCUAAAAGGUAAAUAUUGCUACUACUUGGUCAGAUAGCGUCUACUUCAAAAUGCAAAAUAUACGUUAGCAGCCAAUGUUAAACGUUAAUGAUUUGGGACAAAUGAUGUUAUUUAAUGUUAAACUAUGUGAGUGGCGCUCUGUGGCGCGACAGGGAUUUGAGCAACUUCCUGAGCAUAGCUGGGCGCCAUGAACAGGCGCAACCUGUCGGCGCUGCGCGUUCGGUGUGCGACCCCCACACGCUGUAAGUCGUAGCGGGGCGCCAUGGACAGGCACCACCUGUCGGCGCCGGUGUGCGUAUACUCAUAGAAAACAAUGUGUUUGUAUUGUUAGAAUGGCACGGCGCUGAGCUGCGCGUUCGGUGUGCGACCCCCACACGCUGUAAGUCAUAGUUGGGCGCCGUGGACAGGCGCCACCUGUCGGCGCCGGUGUGCGUAUACUCAUAGAAAACAAUGUGUUUGUUUUUUUUCGAAUGGCACGGCAGUGUGCAAC
This is a non-coding RNA of Paramisgurnus dabryanus, 1127 nucleotides long. The record is from RefSeq and is a predicted model, not a curated record. Lineage: Eukaryota; Metazoa; Chordata; Actinopteri; Cypriniformes; Cobitidae.